Molecule: ribosomal RNA, 406 nt
Filed under: uncultured bacterium
Lineage: Bacteria
Description: partial 16S ribosomal RNA
Rfam family: Bacterial small subunit ribosomal RNA
Source: RNAcentral
AUUGAACGCUGGCGGCAGGCCUAACACAUGCAAGUCGAACGAGUGGCGGACGGGUGAGUAAUGUCUGGGAACCUGCCCGCUGGAGGGGGAUAACUACUGGAAACGGUAGCUAAUACCGCAUACCAUCGGAUUUGCCCAGCUGGGAUUAGCUAGUAGGGGGGGUAACGGCUCACCUAGGCGACGAUCCCUAGCUGGUCUGCGAGGAUGACCAGCCACACGGGAACUGAGACACGGUCCAUACUCCUACGUGAGUCAGCAGUGGGGAAUAGGGCACAAUGGGCGCAAGCCUGAUGCAGCCAGGCCGCGUGUAUGAAGAAGGCCGUCGGGUUGUAAAGUACUUUCAGCGAGGAGGCGUUACUCGGAGAAGAAGCACCGGCUAACUCCGUGCCAGCAGCCGCGGUAAUUC